Molecule: unclassified non-coding RNA, 263 nt
Filed under: plant metagenome
Description: partial contains small subunit ribosomal RNA, internal transcribed spacer 1, and 5.8S ribosomal RNA
Source: RNAcentral
UUUCCGUAGGUGAACCUGCGGAAGGAUCAUUAUAGUAUGGCCAAGGUGCGAGGGCUGUCGCUGGCAAGAAAGGUCGUGCACGCCCGAGUGAGCCCACACACAUCCAUCUCACCCCGAUGUGCAGCCCCGCGGGGGUCGCUCUUUGGCUUUUUCGGAGGGGGGCUUACGUUCGCACACAAUCUUUAUAUGUAGUGUAGAAUUUAUUUUUCGUUUUUGCGGUCACGCAAUCAAUACAACUUUCAACAACGGAUCUCUUGGCUCUG